Molecule: ribosomal RNA, 117 nt
Filed under: Oligoflexia bacterium
Lineage: Bacteria; Pseudomonadati; Bdellovibrionota; Oligoflexia
Source: RNAcentral
GGGUGUGUUGAUGAUGGCAGGGAAAUACCUGAAACCAUUUCGAACUCAGAAGUUAAGCCUGUCUGUGGCGAAUGUAGUGCUAGGGAGACUUAGUGUGAGAUAAGCUGGAUGCACCUU